Molecule: ribosomal RNA, 199 nt
Filed under: uncultured bacterium
Lineage: Bacteria
Description: partial 16S ribosomal RNA
Rfam family: Bacterial small subunit ribosomal RNA
Source: RNAcentral
CGGAUCGGAGUCUGCAACUCGACUCCGUGAAGCUGGAUUCGCUAGUAAUCGCGCAUCAGCCAUGGCGCGGUGAAUACGUUCCCGGGCCUUGUACACACCGCCCGUCAAGCCAUGGGAGCCGGGGGUACCUGAAGUCCGUAACCGCGAGGAUCGGCCUAGGGUAAAACUGGUGACUGGGGCUAAGUCGUAACAAGGUAAC